GAUGAAUGCUGGCGGCGUGCCUAAUACAUGCAAGUCGAGCGAACAGACGAGGAGCUUGCUCUUCUGACGUUAGCGGCGGACGGGUGAGUAACACGUGGAUAACCUACCUAUAAGACUGGGAUAACUUCGGGAAACCGGAGCUAAUACCGGAUAAUAUAUUGAACCGCAUGGUUCAAUAGUGAAAGACGGUUUUGCUGUCACUUAUAGAUGGAUCCGCGCCGCAUUAGCUAGUUGGUAAGGUAACGGCUUACCAAGGCGACGAUGCGUAGCCGACCUGAGAGGGUGAUCGGCCACACUGGAACUGAGACACGGUCCAGACUCCUACGGGAGGCAGCAGUAGGGAAUCUUCCGCAAUGGGCGAAAGCCUGACGGAGCAACGCCGCGUGAGUGAUGAAGGUCUUCGGAUCGUAAAACUCUGUUAUUAGGGAAGAACAAAUGUGUAAGUAACUAUGCACGUCUUGACGGUACCUAAUCAGAAAGCCACGGCUAACUACGUG
Molecule: ribosomal RNA, 497 nt
Filed under: uncultured bacterium
Lineage: Bacteria
Description: partial 16S ribosomal RNA
Rfam family: Bacterial small subunit ribosomal RNA
Source: RNAcentral